CCUACGGGUGGCAGCAGUGAGGAAUAUUGGUCAAUGGCCGCAGGGCUGAACCAGCCAAGUCGCGUGAGGGAUGACGGUCCUAUGGAUUGUAAACCUCUUUUGUCAGGGAGCAAAGGGCGCCACGUGUGGCGCUUUGCGAGUACCUGAAGAAAAAGCAUCGGCUAACUCCGUGCCAGCAGCCGAGGUAAUACGGGGGGUGCGAGCGUUAUCCGGAUGUAUUGGGUUUAAAGGGUGCGGAGGCGGAAUGUCAAGUCAGCGGUAAAAUUUCGGGGCUAAACCCCGUCGUGCCGUUGAAACUGGUCUUCUUGAGUGAGCGAGAAGUAUGCGGAAUGCGUGGUGUAGCGGUGAAAUGCAUAGAUAUCACGCAGAACUCCGAUUGCGAAGGCAGCAUACCGGCGCUCAACUGACGCUGAGGCACGAAAGCGUGGGGAUCGAACAGGAUUAGAUACCCGAGUAGUC
This 459-nucleotide ribosomal RNA is filed under the name uncultured bacterium. RNAcentral's name for it is "partial 16S ribosomal RNA". It matches the Rfam family "Bacterial small subunit ribosomal RNA", at positions 338 to 795 of the family's 1533-position model. The record is from RNAcentral.